AUCAAACCCACAGAAUUCGAUCUAUGUUCUGAAUUUGAUAUGUUAUAGUCGAUUAAAUUGUAACGCCCUAAUAGUCCCAUAUCGGGUGAAAAACUGAUUUUGAUUACAAUAUUUGAGGUUUACACGCUAGAUAAAAAUUGGGCUUAAGUAUUUUGGGUCUGUGAUUUGACCUAACGAGUUAGUAUUAUUUGCUAGCGGGUAGGUUGUUACAAUUGGUAUUAGAGUUGAAUACCAGCCGAAAGUGUGAGAGCUAAAUGCUAUGCGGGGCAAAGUACUACACCAAUAAAUUUGGUGGGAGCCCGCUUAUGUGGGGCAAAGUGAAAGUGCUGCACUAACGGAUUUGAUGAGGGCCAUCUCUUGAACCCAUUGUAUCAAAGCUGAAUACCAGCUAUAAAUGUGAGAGCUAAAUGUUAUGCGGGGCAAAGUACUACACCAACGAAUUUGGUGGGAGCUACCUUUAGAAUCUCACAUCGUCUAAUAAUUUUGGUCAUAAUUUGUCUGUUUGUGAUUUCGUUUGGACCCGACAAGGACGUCCGUAGGAGUGAUAAUUUUGGUUCUGAUCUGUCUUUCUGUGAUUUAGUUUGGACCCGACGAGUACAUUAGAAUCUAAAUUGGAAAACUGAUUUUGAUUAGAAUAUAUAAGGCCUACACACUAGUAAUAAAAGCUGGGCUUAAAUAUUUUGGACCGGUGAUUUGGGCCCAACAAAUUAUUAUUGUUAGUGGGUCAAGUCGUUGCGUAAAUUCUCUAUUGAAUUUAACUUAUUAUUGAUUUGAUUUUGUAGAUGG
This 786-nucleotide long non-coding RNA is filed under the name Ananas comosus (pineapple). Its description in RNAcentral is "long non-coding RNA (ACOM_LNC025263)". Lineage: Eukaryota; Viridiplantae; Streptophyta; Magnoliopsida; Poales; Bromeliaceae. The record is from RNAcentral.